CCACACUGGAACUGAGACACGGUCCAGACUCCUACGGGAGGCAGCAGUGGGGAAUUUUGGACAAUGGGCGCAAGCCUGAUCCAGCCAUUCCGCGUGAGUGAAGAAGGCCUUCGGGUUGUAAAGCUCUUUCGCAAGAGAAGAAAACUUACUUUCUAAUAAAGAGUGAGGCUGCGGUAUCUUGAUAAGCACCGGCUAACUACGUGCCAGCAGCCGCGGUAAUACGUAGGGUGCGAGCGUUAAUCGGAAUUACUGGGCGUAAAGCGUGCGCAGGCUGUUUUGUUAGUCA
RNAcentral lists this ribosomal RNA (286 nucleotides) under uncultured ammonia-oxidizing bacterium. Its description in RNAcentral is "partial 16S ribosomal RNA". It matches the Rfam family "Bacterial small subunit ribosomal RNA", at positions 308 to 590 of the family's 1533-position model. The record is from RNAcentral.